This is an RNA transcript of Rhinolophus ferrumequinum (greater horseshoe bat), 3037 nucleotides long. It is a transcript of the gene named G protein-coupled receptor 19, with no coding region annotated. The record is from RefSeq and is a predicted model, not a curated record. The transcript has 7 exons. NCBI's taxonomy places the organism in Eukaryota, Metazoa, Chordata, Mammalia, Chiroptera, Rhinolophidae.
UAGCCAACCAAAUUUGGCGCUUGAGAAAGGUCGGUCGCGCUGAUCCGAUGGAUUCAAGCACAAAAUACUGCAUUCUUCGAGAUUUUUGCGGUCACAACUCCACAUACCUGCAUGGUCGUCCCUUCUCUCGGUUCUUACAUAUCGGCCGUGAAUUCUGUGUGAGAGGAGGGUUACAGCGAAUCAAGCAGUGAAGGAGUGGGCGUGGCAGAGCCGAUCAAGGUUUUAAAAUAAGGGUGAUGACUUUUAUGUAUUUGGAAAGCUAAUUGGAAGCUACAUAAAGGAAUAAAUAUGACGGGCUAAUAUUUAAAAAAAAAUUUUAAUAGAGACCACGACAAUGAAUUAAGGCUACAUGGGACACCUGCACAAGCAUUGGAUUUUGUCCUGCAACAUCUUAAAGGAAGCGGGCUGUGAGCCAAGGGAAAAGCAGAAGACAGAUAUGAAUGCGUUCCCAAGCUUUCCUCGUGGUUUAUGUCAUUCUCCAAACUCCCAAGCAAGGGCUAUUCCUGACCAAGAAGACCCAAGGAGACCGUCUCUAAAAUCAAGUCCGGAUGGAGAGUUUCACUGAAGAAGACUGUGAAGAGUCGGUCGAUAAUUGAACUUCAAUACUGAACUUCAGUCCUUUGGCUUAAACCUUUGAUCCCGGCUGAAAUCUACAUUUCCCUUGGACAAGUAACACUUUUACACUAUUACUGUACAGUCAUCUGAAGGGAGCCUCUUGUAUCCCUCCAUCUUUGGAUUUUUAGCAUGUUAGCACCAGGCCUGGUUUAUGUGGUACCUGCUGAGUGAGUUGUGUCAAAGAAACAGCCCUGCUGGAAGCACAUACAGCCUGGCAAGCGCUGCACGCCCACCGCACUCGGGGGCCUUCUCAGAUGAGCAGAACUAAGAGAAAAAAAAUGAAUAUGGUUUUUGCUCACAGAAUGGAUAACCGCAAGCCACGUUUGGUUAUUCCGACACUUCUGGUGCCUCUCCAAAACCACAGCUGCACUGAAACAGCUACGCCUCUGCCAAACCAUGACCUGAUGGAUUUAUAUGAGGAGCACAGUUGGAUGAGCAACAGAACAGACCUGCAAUAUGGACUGAAACCCGGGGAAGUGGCCACAGCCAGCAUUUUCUUUGGGACCCUGUGGUUGUUUUCUAUCGUUGGCAAUUCCUUGGUCUGUUUGGUCAUCCACCGGAGCAGGAGGACUCAGUCCACCACCAACUACUUUGUGGUCUCCAUGGCCUGUGCCGAUCUUCUCGUCAGCUUUGCCAGCACGCCUUUCGUCCUGCUGCAGUUCACCACCGGAAGGUGGACACUUGGUGGUGCGAUGUGCAAGGUGGUUCGGUAUUUCCAGUAUCUCACCCCAGGCGUCCAGAUCUAUGUGCUCCUCUCCAUCUGCAUAGACCGGUUCUAUACCAUUGUCUACCCUCUGAGCUUCAAGGUGUCCAGAGAAAAAGCCAAGAAAAUGAUUGCAGCGUCGUGGGUCUUUGAUGCAGCCUUUGUGACCCCCGUGUUCUUUUUCUACGGCUCCGGCUGGGACAACCACUGUAACUAUUUCCUCCCCUCCUCCUGGGAAGGAACUGCCUAUACUGUCAUCCACUUCUUGGUGGGCUUUGUGAUUCCAUCUGUCCUCAUAAUCUUAUUUUACCAGAAGGUCAUAAAGUAUAUUUGGAGAAUAGGCACUGAUGGCCGAACUGUGAGGAGAACAAUGAACAUUGUCCCAAGGACAAAAGUGAAAACUAUCAAGAUGUUCCUCAUUUUAAACCUAUUGUUUUUGCUCUCCUGGCUGCCUUUUCAUGUGGCUCAGCUGUGGCACCCCCAGGAACGAGACUAUAAGAAAAGUUCCCUUGUGUUCACAGCAAUCACAUGGAUAUCCUUUAGUUCUUCAGCCUCUAAACCUACUCUGUAUUCAAUUUAUAAUGCCAAUUUUAGGAGAGGAAUGAAAGAGACUUUUUGCAUGUCCUCGAUGAAAUGUUACCGAAGCAAUGCCUAUACUAUCACAACCAGUUCAAGGAUGGCCAAAAAAAACUAUGUUGGCAUUUCAGAAAUCCCUCCCCUGGCCAAAACUAUAACCAAAGACUCAAUCUAUGAUUCAUUUGAUAGAGAAGCCAAGGAAAAAAAGCUUGCUUGGCCCAUUAACUCAAAUCCACCAAAUACUUUUGUCUAAUUUCUCAGAAUUCUUUCAAUUAUUGUUAUGCGCCAGAGAUUAAAAAAGCUUUAACUAUAAAAAACACGUCUCUCUAAAGAACACACAAGUGGCCAAACCCAUCCAGGCCUCGAUGAGCUUCCUGGCUGCUGCUCUGGUGGAAGUCUAAUGUUUAGAGGACCUGACCAUUCUUAAAAGGAGAGUCUAGAUGAAAUUUACUGAGCUGGCCCUCACCUUUUCCUUGGCUGUGGAUAGGUUGUUGGAUUAGUGGUGCUGAAUGUCUGAGAUACGGAAAGAAGCCUGUACAUUCCCACCUCACAGACACAGGGAUAUGAAACAAAACUGGGGUUGAUAUUUGGGGUAAGCAACAAUGAUAAAACAUUUCAUCUGCAAAACAUCUAUAGAGCUGACGUUUUUAAUUGGAGGUGUUUCAACACAUUCAAAAGAUAAAAGUAAUCGCUCAUGUUUUUCUUCCUUUUCUUUCUCCUCAUAUUCCUAACUCAUCUCAUCAGUAAACGGUACUCUAAAAAUGACAAAGUGUGCCCGAUGUUUGUGUCACUUGGCCCUUGAAUUUUAUGGUUCAGGCUUGUUAAAAAAAAUAGAAAUAAUUUAGUUUUUGCCCUUUUAAGUGGAAUAUUAUUUUUUUAAGUUAGAUUGUAAAAAGUUAAAUUUAAUUCAUUUCAAAUUUAUUUUUAUGUUUAAUUUAGUUCUCAGUUUAAACUAAAAGAGAUUACUGCGUGAUUACUAAGCUCCAUUCUGUCUUUAAUGUUCUAAGAGCUGACGCCAGUAAGUGGAAAUUCAGUGAGACCAUCUUAUAAACUCUUGUUAUAGAAGGUACUAGCUUUUUAAAAAUACCCCACAUAAUGACAAAUUAAGAGGGUGUGGAGAAAGAGCCAGGAGUGCAGUUUCCA